GACGAACGCUGGCGGCGUGCCUAAUACAUGCAAGUAGAACGCUGAAGGAGGAGCUUGCUCUUCUGGAUGAGUUGCGAACGGGUGAGUAACGCGUAGGUAACCUGCCUGGUAGCGGGGGAUAACUAUUGGAAACGAUAGCUAAUACCGCAUAACAGUAGAUGUUGCAUGACAUUUACUUAAAAGGUGCAAUUGCAUCACUACCAGAUGGACCUGCGUUGUAUUAGCUAGUUGGUGGGGUAACGGCUCACCAAGGCGACGAUACAUAGCCGACCUGAGAGGGGGAUCGGCCACACUGGGACUGAGACACGGCCCAGACUCCUACGGGAGGCAGCAGUAGGGAAUCUUCGGCAAUGGACGGAAGUCUGACCGAGCAACGCCGCGUGAGUGAAGAAGGGUUUCGGAUCGUAAAGCUCUGUUGUAAGAGAAGAACGAGUGUGAGAGUGGAAAGUUCACACUGUGACGGUAGCUUACCAGAAAGGGACGGCUAACUACGUG
This 495-nucleotide ribosomal RNA is filed under the name uncultured bacterium. Its description in RNAcentral is "partial 16S ribosomal RNA". It matches the Rfam family "Bacterial small subunit ribosomal RNA", at positions 28 to 507 of the family's 1533-position model. The record is from RNAcentral.